UUGGAGGGCAAGUCUGGUGCCAGCAGCCGCGGUAAUUCCAGCUCCAAUAGCGUAUAUUAAAGUUGUUGCAGUUAGAAAGCUCGUAGUUGAAUUUCGGGGUCAGUAGGUUGGUCAUGCCACUGGUAUGUACUGGUCUCACUGAUUCCUCCUUCCUGAUGAACUGUAAUGCCAUUAAUUUGGUGUUGCAGGGAAUCUGGACUGUUACUUUGAAAAAUUAGAGUGUUUAAAGCAGGCAUGGAAUAAUGAAAUAGGACGUUCGAUCCUAUUUUGUUGGUUUCUAGGAUUGACGUAAUGAUUAAUAGGGAUAGUUGGGGGCAUUAGUAUUCAAUUGUCAGAGGUGAAAUUCUUGGAUUUAUUGAAGACUAACUACUGCGAAAGCAUUUACCAAGGAUGUUUUCAUUAAUCAAGAACGAAAGUUAGGGGAUCGAAGACGAUCAGAUACCGUCGUAGUCUUAACCAUAAACUAUGCCGACUAGGGAUCGGAUGAUGUUAAUUUUUUUAAUGACUCA
Molecule: ribosomal RNA, 509 nt
Filed under: uncultured Glomeraceae
Lineage: Eukaryota; Fungi; Glomeromycota; Glomeromycetes; Glomerales; Glomeraceae
Description: SSU rRNA
Rfam family: Eukaryotic small subunit ribosomal RNA
Source: RNAcentral